AUUAUUUUAUGAAGCUAUGUACUGCUCAUAAUUAAAAAAGAAGAACAACGUGAAUUGUUCUUUCUUGGAAGCAAACUUUCAAUGUAAAUUCAACAAUUACUAAGACAAUAAAGUGGGCAGUGACAUAAAAUCCCAAACCAACCAGCAACGUCCUUGUUAAAUACUCAGUAACGACCUUCCUUUGAGCAACAUAAUAGCUACUUUGUCUUAAUAAAGAUCAAGUCAAGUUCAAUUCCGUUGACGUGAUGAUUCCAAUAUCAAUUUCCUCCGAUGCUGGCAAAUUGAAGGUUUCUUCGAAGUAAAGUAAGAUCGAAGAAAAGUAGUUCUUGGCAUAUGAGGCUAAAAGAGCGACGAGGCGAACGGGUUGCAAAUAGUCGCUAACAGCCCCAGAUUGUUUGGCAGGUUAAGUAUACAGCUAGGAUGCUCUGACGUCUGCUGGGAUUGGCAAGUUCCACCUCAUUCUGGAGUUGUGCUGAGUCAUGUAUAGAUAUGUACGAUUAUGGGUAUGUCAGGGCCCUAUCCUGACUCAUAAUGUCCAGUCCACUUCUUAGAGACUUCUGCAGACAGUGUCUUGUGGUAUGUUUGUCGAGAUGUCGACAAAGUGAUAUCAGUUGAGCCAUUUAUGGAUUCUAAAAGAGUAUGUAUUUCAGAUAUUAUAGGUUGGUCUAAAUUACUUAUUGAUUGAAAGUUUUCAUAAUCGUUAUAGGGAUAAUGAUUUC
Lycium barbarum (goji berry) is the source of this 719-nucleotide long non-coding RNA. RefSeq lists it as uncharacterized. The transcript has 3 exons. The record is from RefSeq and is a predicted model, not a curated record. NCBI's taxonomy places the organism in Eukaryota, Viridiplantae, Streptophyta, Magnoliopsida, Solanales, Solanaceae.